UGGCAAGCAAGUCAGGUAUUUGGGAAUUUUUAUUUUAUUUAAAGGAUACGCUGCUAGGAGGGGUAGCUUUUAUUAUGGCGCGUGCUGCAACGACUGAACCCAGGUGUGGACGAAAGGCAGACUCAGUCCUCCUGGCAACCACAAAACAGUAAACCCAAAAGAUCCCAUAAAACAAAAAGACUGACAAACAUCCAAGCAACACACACGGAAUGCUGGAGGAACUCAGCAGGCCAGGUGGCAUCUAUGGAAAAGAGUUGACGCUUCGGGCCGAAACCCUUCGUACUGUGCAAAAGUCUUAGCCACCCUAGCUUUUUUGUAUGGUUUCAUAAGGCCUCCACAAAGCCCUGAUCACAAUAUUAUUGAGGCUGUCUCAGAUUACCUGAAGAGAAAGAAGCCAGCAAGACAGCCAAAGGCUGAAGAAGAACUGUGGCAAAUUCUCCAAGAUGCUCAGAACAACCUACCGGCCGAUUUUCUAAUAAAACUGCAUGACAAUGUUCCAAAGAGAAUUGACACAGUUUUAAAUGCAAAGGCUGGUCACACAAAAUAUCGAUUGAUUUAAUUUUUACUGUUCACUGCUAUUUAAAGUAAUUUUUGAUAUUUCGAAACUUUUCAUUGCUUUACAGAAUUUUUUUUACAUGUGCCUAAGACUUUUGUAAUUCUAAAUCCUAGCAGAGAGAAGCACAGAACAAGCUCAUAAUGAAUCUCAACCUCUUUUCACCAUGUCCCAUUUCACUUUGCAUUAAUUUACAUAAGGACAAAAAACUAACUAUACUGUAAAUUAUGCUGCCAAUCCACUGAGAAUCAGUUGCAGCUAACUAGCACAGAUCAAUUUCACCCUUUUGGUAUCUCCAACCUGGCAAUGGCACAAUGAGCCAAAUCAUUUUCUUUCCCACAAAUGCUCACAUUUUGGAUGUAAGGUGAAUAAUAGAGACUCAGAAAUUUUGUAGCUAAAAGCAUGUCAGAUCAAUAUUCUCUGGUGUUACAUUCUAGCUUUUUCAAGACCCCCAGACUCUUAUCUUUUGGCAUUCACGAGGCUGAGAUAAGUGCAUCCAAACUCGCACCAAGGUCAAUUCUCGGUAGUUUCCCAUCAUUAUAAAGAAUAGAAGUUGAGAAGUGAAGGGAAGUGAUGAUAUCUGGUAGGCAUGAUUUAAGGUAAUUUAUUUUGUUGCCAUUAAGAUAAUCAGGGAGGUUUAAAAUAUUUGUAGAAUUGGGUGUGUUAGAGCACCUGUCAGCAAAUGUCCCCAGGCACUGCAGAGUUAGUGAAGGAACCAGCCUUGAAGAAGAUGGCAAUUGCCAAGUUAGGUCAUGUUUCUUAAUUAAAGCUGAAAGAGGCAUUGAUAGUCCAGUUAAGGCCAAUGUCAGUGCUCAGAAUCCUGGGGCCUCGUAUUCAUAAAAGAUUCAGCAUUAAGGGAUAUCAAACAGGAAUUAUGCACCUAUUGUCUCUGUACCUUCUCAGUGACAUCCAUAGGUAUACACAGAGGAUCAAGGACACAACUCCUCCAGUAGACACAUGAAGGAUAACAAAACUAUACGUUUCUAAUUCCUGGGCUUCAGAUAAAUUGUUACCAUAGUAAUAUAAAAAUGCAAUAUAUGAAACUAAUUCCAGUACAAAUGUUUCAUGCAAAACUUAUGUGCCUCAAAGACUAAACCUUUGUGACAGAUGUCGACUUACUAUUAGAUAACCAUUACUUUAUCAUCAAUGAAUAAAGAAAAUAAUUUUUC
Molecule: long non-coding RNA, 1722 nt
Organism: Mobula hypostoma (lesser devil ray)
Lineage: Eukaryota; Metazoa; Chordata; Chondrichthyes; Myliobatiformes; Myliobatidae
Exons: 3
Source: RefSeq, a predicted model, not a curated record